RNAcentral lists this ribosomal RNA (693 nucleotides) under uncultured marine bacterium. RNAcentral describes it as "bacterial SSU rRNA". It matches the Rfam family "Bacterial small subunit ribosomal RNA", at positions 8 to 746 of the family's 1533-position model. The record is from RNAcentral.
AGAGUUUGAUCAUGGCUCAGGAUGAACGCUGGCGGCGUGCUUAACACAUGCAAGUCGAACGAACCUUCGGGUUAGUGGCGGACGGGUGAGUAACGCGUGGGAAUCUGCCCUCAGGAGGGGGAUAACGGUUGGAAACGACCGCCAAUACCCCAUAUGCCGAGAGGUGAAAUGAAUUUCGCCUGAGGAUGAGCCCGCGUCUGAUUAGCUUGUUGGUGAGGUAAUGGCUCACCAAGGCAUCGAUCAGUAGCUGGUCUGAGAGGAUGAUCAGCCACACUGGGACUGAGACACGGCCCAGACUCCUACGGGAGGCAGCAGUGGGGAAUUUUCCGCAAUGGGCGAAAGCCUGACGGAGCAACGCCGCGUGAGGGACGAAGGCCUCUGGGCUGUAAACCUCUUUUCUCAAGGAAGAAGAUAUGACGGUACUUGAGGAAUAAGCCACGGCUAAUUCCGUGCCAGCAGCCGCGGUAAUACGGGAGUGGCAAGCGGUAUCCGGAAUUAUUGGGCGUAAAGCGUCCGCAGGCGGCCUUUCAAGUCUGCUGUUAAAACGUGGAGCUUAACUCCAUCAUGGCAGUGGAAACUGAUCGGCUUGAGUAUGGUAGGGGCAGAGGGAAUUCCCGGUGUAGCCGGUGAAAUGCGUAGAUAUCGGGAAGAACACCAGUGGCGAAGGCGCUCUGCUGGGGCCAUUACUGACGC